This 473-nucleotide ribosomal RNA is filed under the name uncultured bacterium. RNAcentral describes it as "bacterial SSU rRNA". It matches the Rfam family "Bacterial small subunit ribosomal RNA", at positions 28 to 507 of the family's 1533-position model. The record is from RNAcentral.
GACGAACGCUGGCGGCGUGCUUAACACAUGCAAGUCGAACGGACGAGUGAGAUAAGUUUACUUAACUCACAAGUUAGUGGCGGACGGGUGAGUAACACGUGGAUAAUCUACCUGCAACACCGGGAUAACGCUGUGAAAACGGUGCUAAUACCGGAUACGUUCCCUUGUGCGCAUGUAUGAGGGAAGAAAGCUCAGGCGGUUGCAGAUGAGUCCGCGGCUGAUUAGCUAGUUGGUGAGGUAAAGGCUCACCAAGGCGAUGAUCAGUAGCCGGCCUGAGGGGGUGAACGGCCACACUGGGACUGAGACACGGCCCAGACUCCUACGGGAGGCAGCAGUGGGGAAUCUUCCGCAAUGGGCGCAAGCCUGACGGAGCAACGCCGCGUGGGUGAAGAAGGCCUUCGGGUUGUAAAGCCCUGUCUUAUGGGAAGAAGUCAGUGACGGUACCAUAGGAGGAAGCCACGGCUAACUACGUG